This 1443-nucleotide ribosomal RNA is filed under the name metagenome. RNAcentral describes it as "bacterial SSU rRNA". It matches the Rfam family "Bacterial small subunit ribosomal RNA". The record is from RNAcentral.
AGAGUUUGAUCCUGGCUCAGGAUGAACGCUGGCGGCGUGCUUAACACAUGCAAGUCGAACGAUCCUUCGGGAUAGUGGCGGACGGGUGAGUAACGCGUGGGAAUCUGCCCUCAGGAGGGGGAUAACGGCUGGAAACGGCCGCUAAUACCCCAUAUGCCGAGAGGUGAAAUGAAUUUCGCCUGAGGAUGAGCCCGCGUCUGAUUAGCUAGUUGGUGGGGUAAAGGCCUACCAAGGCAACGAUCAGUAGCUGGUCUGAGAGGAUGAUCAGCCACACUGGGACUGAGACACGGCCCAGACUCCUACGGGAGGCAGCAGUGGGGAAUUUUCCGCAAUGGGCGAAAGCCUGACGGAGCAACGCCGCGUGAGGGAUGAAGGCCUCUGGGCUGUAAACCUCUUUUCUCAAGGAAGAAGACCUGACGGUACUUGAGGAAUAAGCCACGGCUAAUUCCGUGCCAGCAGCCGCGGUAAUACGGGAGUGGCAAGCGUUAUCCGGAAUUAUUGGGCGUAAAGCGUCCGCAGGCGGCCUUGUAAGUCUGUUGUUAAAGCGUGGAGCUCAACUCCAUUUAAGCAAUGGAAACUACAAGGCUGGAGUGUGGUAGGGGCAGAGGGAAUUCCCGGUGUAGCGGUGAAAUGCGUAGAUAUCGGGAAGAACACCAGUGGCGAAGGCGCUCUGCUGGGCCAUAACUGACGCUCAUGGACGAAAGCCAGGGGAGCGAAAGGGAUUAGAUACCCCUGUAGUCCUGGCCGUAAACGAUGAACACUAGGUGUCGGGGGAAUCGACCCCCUCGGUGUCGUAGCCAACGCGUUAAGUGUUCCGCCUGGGGAGUACGCACGCAAGUGUGAAACUCAAAGGAAUUGACGGGGGCCCGCACAAGCGGUGGAGUAUGUGGUUUAAUUCGAUGCAACGCGAAGAGCCUUACCAGGGUUUGACAUCCUGCGAACCCCUGAGAAAUCGGGGGGUGCCUUCGGGAGCGCAGAGACGGGUGGUGCAUGGCUGUCGUCAGCUCGUGUCGUGAGAUGUUGGGUUAAGUCCCGCAACGAGCGCAACCCACGUCUUUAGUUGCCAGCAUUCAGUUGGGCACUCUAGAGAGACCGCCGGUGAUAAACCGGAGGAAGGUGUGGAUGACGUCAAGUCAUCAUGCCCCUUACAUCCUGGGCUACACACGUACUACAAUGCCACGGACAAAGGGCAGCAAGCUCGCGAGAGUUAGCAAAUCCCAUAAACCGUGGCUCAGUUCAGAUCGUAGGCUGCAACUCGCCUACGUGAAGGAGGAAUCGCUAGUAAUCGCAGGUCAGCAUACUGCGGUGAAUACGUUCCCGGGCCUUGUACACACCGCCCGUCACACCAUGGAAGUUGGCCAUGCCCGAAGUCGUUACUCCAACCCUUGUGGAGGAGGACGCCGAAGGUGGGGCUGAUGACUGGGGUGAAGUCGUAACAAGGUA